GCCUCUCCUCUGUACUUACUGGUGGGCAUUGUGCAAGUUUAUCAGCUGCCACCAACUGGACGUUCAAGUGUUUGCUUUGUGACUUCCCUCUGGACUUGAUCAGUCGCUGCAGAACCUGCCAGGAGGAAAGGGCAAAAGGUGCAGAUUCCACACUGCCCAUACCCACCCUGCCCUCCAGCUCCCUCCUGGAUCUUAAGGUGAGGAAUUACCUUUGGAGAGGACACCUUCACAUGGACAAUAAUUGGUGCUAGAGAUGUCUUGAUAAGCUGUGCAGGGUGAUUUAUAGUGUCUGCAUCCAGGACAACCAGCUGUAAGGACCUGGCCAGCUCAAAGAUUCUUUCAAUCUCACUCUGCACUUCAGCUGCAAAGGAAAACAAAGCAGGUUUGUUCAGAAACCACUGAACCCCUGAGCACUGGGAUAAAAAUGUGCUCACCCACUUACUGUCACAGACUUCACCUGUGAAUUGAUGGCAUUGCCAUAAAAUAACCUGUUACCUGUACCUCUAGUGCAGGCACUCACUAAGGAUGGCAGAGAUUUGGAAUUUGUUCUUUUUUUUUACCAAACCCAACUCCUCUUAGAUCCUGGGAAGGUGUCCCAGAGAGCAGGAUGUUGGAAUGCACGUGACACCCAGAAAUUUCCACCCUUGUGCAAGAAAGAACCACACAAUCACAGAACUAUCAAGGCUGGAAAAGACUUCCAGGAUCAUGGAGUCCAAAUAAAAAUUCCUCAGGCCACUGCUCCCCAGCAGUCCUGACACUGAGGGGAGCAGGACCCAAAGUCUCACAGCCAGACAGCAAAAUUCAGCUGUAACUGCUCAAAAUUAAACACACAACUGCUCCCAGGGUCAGGAAUGACAUUUCCUUGGCUGGACAAGUGAAAGCUCUUUGGCUCCUUGUGAUGUGGAAUUAAAAGCACAGGGCUGGGAAGGAGGAGGAGCUGAGAGGCCAGCUCAGGAUUAUGCAGGAAAAUGCUGUAGACACAUUUAAAUCUGCACCACGGCUGUGAUCUCAGGAAUGGCUGGAGCUGAGCCAGCAGAGGGUCAGGUUGGAUUUCAGGGCAAGGCUCUUCCCCCAGAGGGUGCUGGCACUGCCCAGGCUCCCCAGGGAAUGGCACAUUCCCAAGAGCUCCAGGAGGGUUUGGACAGCGCUCCCAGGGGUGCCCAGGGUGGGGUUUUGGGGUGUCUGUGAGGGCCAGGAGCUGGAUCCAUGAUCCUGUGGGUCCCUUCCAGCCCAGACUGGAAGGCUGGAUUGGUGGCCUGCCCCCCUGGUGUAAGCCCAGCCUGAGUGCACCUGUGCCAGGGCCUUACCUAGGCUGGACCUGGUGUUGGAGCGCUCGAUGAUGGCCCUCUUGCUGGGGUUAUUGAGCACAGACCUCUUGGCCAGGGAGAUGUCAGCUGUCACUCUGGUGAUGGAUAUCCUGGCAGGAGAGCACAGCACACACAAACACAGGAGUGGGAUUUCCACAGGCACAGCCCAUUCCAAAGGGCAGACACAACCAAACAGGCUCAGGCAUGUUUCCAGAUGAGUUAUGGCAUCAUUAAAGAACAAACGAACAGAAGUGCUGGGUGACUGGGAUGUAUUUCCUAUUCCCUGAGCCCUGGGAUGGAGUUCCUGCUAUUCUCCUUAGUGCAUUAAUUAACUUUCCUCCUCCCAGCUCACUCAUCUCCUGCAUGAAUUUACACAGUGCCAUAAAUGCUGUGGGUUAUGUGAGGCUUGGGGCACCCAGAACAAGGGAGCUGCAAUGUAGCAGCACUUCCUCUUCCUCAGAGUUACACCAGGAGUAAACCCAGCCCAGCUGACAGGGAGCUGUGCCAGGGGCUGGCAUGAGCAGGAGAAAAGGAAGUGGAGCUCUCUGGGCUGCCUGAACUCAAGUUUGACUUCACUGCACCUCUUUAACCUAAGGCAGGUGAUCUAUUUACUUCAUCUGUCAGCAGACACAAAAUGUUACAAAGCAAAGACCACACAAUCCCCUCGUGUCAAAUCCAUUUAGGAGGCCUGGGAUGAGCCAAGGAGCCAGGAAAAAUGGAAGGAAAGCAAGCUGGGAAUGACCAGCAGCUCUUGCACAGAACCUAAGAUUUACGCAGCUCUAAGUGGAAUUUUCAGCUUCAGAGUUAAAAAGAAGUGCAGUUCUUUUUCUGUACAAUACAUAAAUAAAUGCAUACAGUGGAGGCCAAAGGUAAAAAUGAGUGUAAAACAGCAGUGAAUGGACUGUGGGUCUUGGGCUCACUGGCCAGCAGGGGAGGCUGCAGUUACAAAGGAAGGAGCUGGCAAAGCCAAGGGAAUUCAGAGGCAGGGAAGGAGUCAGGUCUCUCUGAUGCCUCUGGAAAGGCUCUUCCUUGGACACUCAGCUCCUUCCUUGGUAACGUGGACCUCUCCCAGAACUGCAGAAGAGGUGGAAAGAAAGAAAGAAGAAAGAAAAGGGAGGGAGGAGAAAGACCACAAAGCCAUGAAAGUUGGCAGGACCAUGAAGCAGCUUUUUCCUGAGUUCCUCAGAGCUAAAAUCAAUGGUGUCAGGCUGCUGGUGGCACUGAGCUCUCCACUGCUGAAAUUUCAUACUCCCACCUGAUCCAGCUGCCAAUACUGCUGAUGGAAUUAGGACUUCCAGAAAUCACUUGAGCUGAGCAGCUCAGGACAGGCCAGGGGAGGAGAGACUUUGCACAGAAGUUGAUCAUUAAAUGUUCUCUCUGAGCUGUUGAGGGAUCAGUUCAGCACUGCCACCUCCUCACUCCUAAAAUCCAUAAAUCCUGCUCCAGCUCUUCUACAGAACAUCAUUUUCCCUGCCCUGGUGCUUUGGGUACUUCAAACCUGACUUAGUGUUAUGUGUCACCAGAACAGCCUCUUUUCCCACUUGGAAUAUCCUGAACUAACUGGGAAGGGCAGAACAUCCCAAACAGGCAGCAGACACCUACAAGGACUGAGGUGAUGCCAUGGACCAAGCCAGUGCUCCCAGCAAGGAAAUCCAAAUGAUCCUCUACAGCUCACCAGGAAAUGCUGCUCCAGCUGAAGAUGAAGCCUCCUUACAAUUCUUUUUCUGUGCUUUAUUCCUCAGCAUUUCCUUCUUCCAACCACCCUUUUCAGUAUUUUUCCUACUUAAGGCAGUCAAAAUAAAAUCUCAUAUAAGGAA
Molecule: long non-coding RNA, 3124 nt
Organism: Haemorhous mexicanus (house finch)
Lineage: Eukaryota; Metazoa; Chordata; Aves; Passeriformes; Fringillidae
Exons: 2
Source: RefSeq, a predicted model, not a curated record